GAUGAACGCUAGCGGCAGGCCUAACACAUGCAAGUCGAGGGGUAGCAGGAUUAAGCUUGCUUAAUUGCUGACGACCGGCGCACGGGUGCGUAACGCGUAUGCAACCUACCUUAUACUGGGGUAUAGCCCGGAGAAAUUCGGAUUAAUCCCCCAUAGUACUAAUGAAUCGCAUGGUUUAUUAGUUAAAGCAUUGCGGUAUAAGAUGGGCAUGCGUCCUAUUAGCUAGAUGGUGAGGUAACGGCUCACCAUGGCUACGAUAGGUAGGGGGCCUGGGAGGGGGGUCACCCACACUGGUACUAAGACACGGACCAGACUCCUACGGGAGGCAGCAGUGAGGAAUAUUGGUCAAUGGGCGCAAGCCUGAACCAGCCAUGCCGCGUGCAGGAAGAAUGCCCUAUGGGUUGUAAACUGCUUUUAUUUGGGAAUAAACCUCUUUACGUGUAGAGAGCUGAAGGUACCAAAUGAAUAAGCACCGGCUAACUCCGUGCCAGCAGCCGCCGUAA
This 503-nucleotide ribosomal RNA is filed under the name uncultured bacterium. RNAcentral describes it as "partial 16S ribosomal RNA". It matches the Rfam family "Bacterial small subunit ribosomal RNA", at positions 28 to 523 of the family's 1533-position model. The record is from RNAcentral.